UAAAUAGAUAAUUUUACAACAAAAUAAUUCGCCAGAGGACUACUAGCAAUAGCUUAAAACUCAAAGGACUUGGCGGUGCUUUAUAUCCCUCUAGAGGAGCCUGUUCUAUAAUCGAUAAACCCCGAUAAACCUCACCACCUUUCGCUAAUUCAGUCUAUAUACCGCCAUCUUCAGCAAACAAA
This 182-nucleotide ribosomal RNA is filed under the name Canis lupus (wolf). RNAcentral describes it as "partial small subunit ribosomal RNA". Lineage: Eukaryota; Metazoa; Chordata; Mammalia; Carnivora; Canidae. The record is from RNAcentral.